ACAGCCUCUCAGCCUGCCAGCUGAGAUCAAGUUGGUAUCUGUUCUUACCAGUUUGGUACCUGACGCGUCUCCUGUCUGAGGACAGUGAUUUGGGGGGAUGAGAUAGAAUAGGAGCUUGCCGUCCCCACUCCACCCACCCACCUGGGUUGCAGGACCUCCAGGAAGGGGCACCCAGC
Molecule: small nuclear RNA, 176 nt
Organism: Cavia aperea (Brazilian guinea pig)
Lineage: Eukaryota; Metazoa; Chordata; Mammalia; Rodentia; Caviidae
Gene: U2
Rfam family: U2 spliceosomal RNA
About the family: U2 is a small nuclear RNA (snRNA) component of the spliceosome (involved in pre-mRNA splicing). Complementary binding between U2 snRNA (in an area lying towards the 5' end but 3' to hairpin I) and the branchpoint sequence (BPS) of the intron results the bulging out of an unpaired adenosine, on the BPS, which initiates a nucleophilic attack at the intronic 5' splice site, thus starting the first of two transesterification reactions that mediate splicing.
Source: Ensembl